UUGAUCGUAUAUUUUUUUAUCCUUUAUAAUAAACCAUACAAA
Molecule: small RNA, 42 nt
Filed under: Plasmodium falciparum 3D7
Lineage: Eukaryota; Apicomplexa; Aconoidasida; Haemosporida; Plasmodiidae
Description: Pfa-npcR7577
Source: RNAcentral